GAAAGGGCUGCUAAUACCCAAUAAUACUAUAGGUGCAAAAGCACUUGUGGUCAAAUGCUAGGAAUUCUGUUCCUUGUGCUUAAAGAGGGGUUAAUGUCCUAUCAGCUAGUUGGUGGGGUAAUGGCCUACCAAGGCAAAGACGGGUAGCCGGCUUGAGAGGGUGGUCGGCCACACUGGGACUGAGACACUGCCCAGACUCCUACGGGAGGCUGCAGUCGAGAAUCUUUCGCAAUGCCCGAAAGGGUGACGAAGCGACGCCGCGUGUGGGAAGAAGGCCUUCGGGCUGUAAACCACUGUCGGGAGUUAGGAAAUGCAGGUGCGUUAAUAGCGCACUUGCUUGACUAAGGCUCCAGAGGAAGCCACGGCUAACUCUGUGCCAGCAGCCGCGGUAAUACAGAGGCGGCAAGCGUUGUUCGGAAUUAUUGGGCGUAAAGAGCACGUAGGCGGCCUUGCAAGUCAGUUGUGAAAGCCUUCCGCUUAACGGAAGAACGGCAUCUGAUACUACAGGGCUUGAGUACGGGAGGGGAGAGUGGAACUUCUGGUGGAGCGGUGAAAUGCGUAGAUAUCAGAAGGAACACCAGGCGGCGAAAGCGACUCUCUGGUCCGAAACUGACGCUGAGUGGUGCGAAAGCUAGGGGAGCAAACGGGAUUAGAUACCCCGGUAGUCCUAGCCGUAAACGAUGGGCACUAAGUAGAGGGGUUUUGAUUAUUUCUCUGCCGGAGCUAACGCAUUAAGUGCCCCGCCUGGGGAGUACGGCCGCAAGGCUAAAACUCAAAAGAAUUGACGGGGGCUCGCACAAGCGGUGGAGCAUGUGGCUUAAUUCGAUGCAACGCGAAGAACCUUACCGGGGCUUGACAUGGUAGAAGUAGAAUCCUGAAAGGGUNGACNGAUNCGGUAUCCAGUCCGAAGCUAUCACAGGUGUUGCAUGGCUGUCGUCAGCUCGUGUCGUGAGACGUUGGGUUAAGUCCCCUAACGAGCGAAACCCUUGUCUUUAGUUGCUAACGGGUAAUGCUAGAGCACUUUAGAGAGACUGCCGUCGUUAAGACGGAGGAAGGUGGGGACGACGUCAAGUCAUCAUGGCCCUUAUGUCCCGGGCUGCACACGUGCUACAAUGGUCGGUACAAAGGGAUGCUAAGUCGCGAGAUGGUGCGAAACCUAUAAAGCCGAUCUCAGUUCAGAUUGGAGGCUGAAACUCGCCUCCAUGAAGUUGGAAUCGCUAGUAAUCGCGGAUCACCUACGCCGCGGUGAAUAUGUUCCCGAGCCUUGUACACACCGCCCGUCAAGCCACCCAAGCAAGAUGCACCCAAAAUCGCCUGCCUAACCCGUAAGGGAGGGAAGUGCCUAAGGUGUGUUUUGUGAGGAGGACUAAGUCGUAACAAGGUAACC
This 1387-nucleotide ribosomal RNA is filed under the name uncultured bacterium. RNAcentral's name for it is "16S ribosomal RNA". It matches the Rfam family "Bacterial small subunit ribosomal RNA", at positions 153 to 1501 of the family's 1533-position model. The record is from RNAcentral.